GCUGGCGGCAGGCCUAACACAUGCAAGUCGAGCGGUAGAGAGAAGCUUGCUUCUCUUGAGAGCGGCGGACGGGUGAGUAAUACCUAGGAAUCUGCCUGAUAGUGGGGGAUAACGUUCGGAAACGGACGCUAAUACCGCAUACGUCCUACGGGAGAAAGCAGGGGACCUUCGGGCCUUGCGCUAUCAGAUGAGCCUAGGUCGGAUUAGCUAGUUGGUGAGGUAAUGGCUCACCAAGGCUACGAUCCGUAACUGGUCUGAGAGGAUGAUCAGUCACACUGGAACUGAGACACGGUCCAGACUCCUACGGGAGGCAGCAGUGGGGAAUAUUGGACAAUGGGCGAAAGCCUGAUCCAGCCAUGCCGCGUGUGUGAAGAAGGUCUUCGGAUUGUAAAGCACUUUAAGUUGGGAGGAAGGGCAGUUACCUAAUACGUGACUGUCUUGACGUUACCGACAGAAUAAGCACCGGCUAACUCUGUGCCAGCAGCCGCGGUAAUACAGAGGGUGCAAGCGUUAAUCGGAAUUACUGGGCGUAAAGCGCGCGUAGGUGGUUUGUUAAGUUGAAUGUGAAAUCCCCGGGCUCAACCUGGGAACUGCAUCCAAAACUGGCAAGCUAGAGUAUGGUAGAGGGUAGUGGAAUUUCCUGUGUAGCGGUGAAAUGCGUAGAUAUAGGAAGGAACACCAGUGGCGAAGGCGACUACCUGGACUGAUACUGACACUGAGGUGCGAAAGCG
This 731-nucleotide ribosomal RNA is filed under the name uncultured bacterium. Its description in RNAcentral is "bacterial SSU rRNA". It matches the Rfam family "Bacterial small subunit ribosomal RNA", at positions 35 to 761 of the family's 1533-position model. The record is from RNAcentral.